CUCACACCAGUAAGGAUGGCUACCAUCCAAAAGACAAACAACAACAAAUGUUGGCGAGGUUGUGGAGAAAGGGGAACCCUCUUACACUGCUGGUGGGAAUGUAAAUUAGUUCAACCAUUGUGGAAAGCAGUAUGGAGGUUCCUCAAAAUGCUCAAAAUAGAAGUACCAUUUGACCCAGGAAUUCCACUCCUAGGAAUUUACCCUAAGAAUGCAGCACUCCAGUUUGAAAAAGACAGAUGCACCCCUAUGUUUAUCGCAGCACUAUUUACAAUAGCCAAGAAUUGGAAGCAACCUAAGUGUCCAUCAGUAGAUGAAUGGAUAAAGAAGAUGUGGUACAUAUACACAAUGGAAUAUUAUUCAACCAUAAGAAGAAAACAAAUCCUACCAUUUGCAACAACAUGGAUGGGGCUAGAGGGAUAUUAUGUUCAGUAAAAUAAGUCAGGAGGAGAAAGACAGGUACCAAAUGAUUUCCCUCGUUUGUGGAGUAUAACAACAAAGCAAAACUGAAGGGACAAAACAGCAACAGACUCACAGACUCCAAGAAGGGACUAGGGGUUACCAAAGGGGAGGGGAGGGGUGGGGAAGGGUGGAUGGGGAGGGAGGGAGAAGGGGAUUCAGGGGUAUUACGAUUGGCACACAUGGUGUGGGGGAGAUCCUGGGGAAGACAGUGUACCACAGAGAAGGCAAAUAGUGACUGUGGCAUCUUACUACACUGAUGGGCAGUGACUGUAAUGGGGUAUGUGGGGGACACGAUAAUGUGGGUGAAUGUAGUAGCCACAUUGUUUUUUCACAUGUGAAACCUUCAUAAGACUGUAUAUCAAUAAUACCUUAAUAAAUAAAUAAAUAAAUAAGAAAAAACAUGCUGUAGCUCUGUUGACAAAAAAAACAAACAAAACCUUGGGCAUUUUGGCCAAUAUACCUGUAGAAUGUAGUGACAAAUAUGUCAAUUUUGUAUAAACUGUCAUCAACAUUAAACAGUUAUAAAUAUAAGAGUUUUGAAUUGACAACAGUGCAAUUUAAAUUUCAGAAUGAACAAUCCUGUUUUACAAAAAAAUUUAAAAGAAAUUGUGGUUUUUUCCCUAAGAAUAUAUCCAAAGAGCAAAUUCUAUGAAUCAGCUUCAACAGAUUUUUUUUCCAAGUGACCUACCACUUAUUAAGCAAAGAAGUUCUCUGCCUCUUAGUCACUUCUCACAAUCGUUAUACACAGUAUUUACUAUUUACAGGUAUCCCCCAAUUUUUUUCAAAAGUUCACGUUACACUACUUCAUUUUACAGAAGAUCUAUGUUAGUACCUAUUUUCACUACAGGAAAGAAAUGGAAGAGGACUAUCGCUUUUACAAAAAGGGGUGAAAAAUGAAAAUAGCAUUCAGCAUUCGUUUUGCGCUGAGUCAUUACAGAGGCAGCAUGUAGCCCACGGAGCAGUACCACAGAGUGGUACUGCCAAACUCCCUCCCUGGAAAGUAAAUUAGCAUCAGGGCACCAGGGCAUUGACCCUUGUCUGUAUCUGUGCUUUAUCUCAAUUUAUCUGUGCAUCUGUUAGCAAGAUUGUCCUAAGGUAUCAAAAAAACCUAAAAGAGGAUAUUUUUGGGGUCUAGGAAUGCUCAAGAUUUUUUCCAUAUAAAUUAAUAGUAACUGCUUCUUCACUUUACACCAUUUUAGUUUACAAAACAUUUCAUAAGGAGUCUACUUUCAGAUAUGGGGAGAACCUGUAUGUAUAUGCAUUUAUUUUAGAAACUAAUCCCAUUGAUUUCUAAAUUUGAUGUAUUUCCAAAUAUUUAUUAAUUUAUUUUAUGUGCAAAGAGAAAAGGAAAUAUAAAGAAAAGAGAUACAGAGAUUAAGGAAGAAAGAUGAAUGAGAAGUUCUAUCAUGCAAAAUCAAGUCAUUCCUGAAAGAACAAUCUUGGCAGAAUCCUGUGCUGCAUUACUGGACCAAACAUUUGAAGAUCCUGUAUAUUCUGCCAUCUGAGAGCAAGCAUCCUUUCAGCUGCUUAUUUCAUAAUCCAGUAAAUAUUAACAGCAACAGUAUCAUCACUAUCAUUGCUUAUACUUCUGUUCUUGAGUCACAGAACCCAGGCAUUGGCAGCAGCAUAACUUGACAACAAUCCUUCCUGUUUCUUAAUACAGCCUUUAUUUUUUACCUUCUUUUCUAAUUGUAGUUCAAAAUAGUUGAUUUCAUCGGGAUUACUUAUUAAAUAUCUGAAAAAAUAUGGAUUGGCUAAUUUAGGUACAGUAAUUACUAAAGGUAUUUUUAUCUAAACAUCUUCAUAUAGUUCUUUUUUGCCUGCUUUUAUUUUAUUUUUAUUAUUUUGGUAUCAUUAAUCUACAAUUACAUGAGCAACAUUAUGUUUACUAGACCCCCCCAUCAUCAAGUCUUCAUAUAGUUUUUUUAAAUAAUUUUUACCAUGUCUGAGAUAAUACAUAAACAUUUCUAAAUCAUUUAACAGGACUGAACCUCCUACUUUUUCUAAAACAAAAGUUGUAUCUUCAGGAAAAGACAAAAAAGGAAAAAAACUGUCUGGGUCACCAACUUCUCUGGCCCACAUCAAUUUACUUUUUAUUAAUGUGACUCUAUUAGAAUACUCUUCUCCAUUAAUUUACGUUCUCUUGUUUCUAAGAGAUCAGAAUCUUUGGAUAAUUCAAUCUUUUUAACAGUUUUAAGUCUUAACCAAAACAACUCAUUCAGGUUGAACUGUCACCUAUGAGACCUACUUUUGUUUUUGAAAAAUUAGUCCCACAGAUUUACAGCCUAAUAACUCCUAUCUAAAGUCUUCUCACCUAAUGUGGAAAAUCCUAAUUUCUAUUAACCUUUCCCACUUACAAACUUACCCUUACCUCUCACCAGUAAAAUGUACCUAUCUUUGAUUUGGAUAUGUUGUAUUAAACAUAAGUUUUUUGUCUAAGGAGAAAGGGGCCAAAAAGAAUGUUAUCUUUUAGGUAGACUAUACAUUGCUAGCUAUUAAGCCACAGUCUUGAAACUGUUUCUCAAUAGCUAUAUAUGUGGAUUUCUGAUCUACUUUUUUUAACAUUCCAAAAUCUAUGUUAAUCCACAGCAAAAACCUAUACAUAGUAAUUGUACAAAUAAAAAUUGGUUGUACAAGUCUCAAUGGAAAAUAGCUUUAUUACUUUUCCCAUAUUUGUUUUCCUUUUGAAAUUCCAUCUCUAAAAAUUGCUGGAAAAUAAUCCAUAAUGUUUUAUUGUUUGUAUCCUGAUAGAUUCUCUUUCCAGAACAGAAACCAGAUCUAGAUAAAGUAUCGAACAUAGUAAGUAUAAUAAAAAAUAUUAUUGCUGAAGAUAACUGUUAAGUUUCCAAAAGUAAACAGUAAGUAGAAUUUUAGUACACUGACCACCGAACAUAGGUGAUAUAUUAACUAAAUCACUUUUAAAAGAUUACUGUAUUAAACACUGAUAGAAAAAUGACCAGAUUAAAGGCUUUUUCAAUAACUAUUGCCAAAGAUUUAUGGACUUCUUAAUGCCCAUCCAUAAUGAAAGCAUCAUUUUAUUGUGCUCAGAUAAGCUAAUCAAUGCUCAUUUAUACAAGUUAAACUUUGCCAGCUUCCUUACUAAGUGAACACAUAUGAGAAGUUUAGUAUGUAUUUAUAUCAUUAAUUGUGCAAUAAAAAAGACAUUUCAACAGAAGAACAUAUUCACAACAUUUAUGUUGCUGACACUUAGUGAAGGCAAAAGGGCUUCCUGUUUUAUUUUGAUGGAAAUUUCUCCCCAUUACCUUUGUCACAUCUUCCUGUGUCUACUAAUGAAGCAUUUUGUCUAAGGUCAGCAAUGUCUGAAUUACUGUUUGAAAUAAAAACUAGUGUAUCAUUUUUAAAAUUGGCCAAACUGCUCCUUCCCUUUCUCAGCAAUUAUACACUACUCAGCAACUUCCCUUUCCAUCAUGUUAUAAAAUAUGUAUUGCCAACUGCACCAAAUCUAAGUCAUAGUCGGGUUAGAACUGAGAGGCAUUUAGCAAAAAUUCAGAGAUCCUAAAUCCUGACCUCAAUCUGCUUUACUUUGUUCCCCGUCAACCCUCACUUGAGGUCUCUGGGAAGGAUAAAAGGUCACACGCCUAUACACUGUUACUAUAGGGCUUUUAUUACAAACUUCAAAGUGCCCUAGUGAACUAGGCUGGUCCAGAUGGAGGACUGUACAACUUAAGGCCUUGAAUCACUACCACUUGGAUAUCCUUUGGGGUCUUUCCUCUUCUAAACCUAUGUUCAAAUCUCAGCCAAUAGUGAAAAAAGGCCAGUCUAGGAACAUAUGAAGGAAAACUAAGCCAGUGGAAUCAUUCAGCUCAGAAACCUAUUAGCUCUGAAUAUCAUUGACAAAACUAAAAAAUGAAAAGAAAAAAGAAAGACAAAUAUGACCACAAUGCUGAAGAGAAGAUGACAAGGCAUUCUAGGCCGGGGAAUUGAAAGAGUAAUCAUGUUAUCUUUUAUGGUAAGAUUAUGGAUAGAGAAACCAGAGCUCUUUAAUGUAAUAAAAAUCAAGCCAUCAGUAGCUGGAAACAGAGGAGGGGGCAACUUGGUGAACCCAAAUAGUAAAGUAUAAAAGACAGGAAUAUGCUUUAAUGUUUAAGAUUAAAGAGCACAGGCUUUUGAAUACCAAUUCUGUGUCUACUACCACUCUUUAGCUGAGUGACCAUGAAUGAAAUCCCUACUCUUUUCCAAUCUGCUUCUCUACCCAUAAAAGAUGUUAACAUCAAAGGGCUCUUCUUGUAUGGCACGUAGUAAAUGCUCAAUAUAUGGUAGCUUUUAAGAAAUAAUAGCAAAGCAAAACAAAAAUAAAAACUUGUCUUCUUCAUAUUUAGAUAGUAUCUUACAUCUUUAAAUUUAUGAACCAUUUGAUGGAAAUGGGAGGUGAGAAGAGGGAGAUGGUACUAUGUAAAAGGUUGCAAAAAAAAGAUCAAUACUAAAUAAUGAUGUCUGGGAUUUACUUCAAAAUAAUGUAGUGGGAACAAAAUAAUGGCCAUUAGUUGAUGUAGCUGGGUGUUCACUGUACUAUUCUUUCUAUUUUUGUGUAUGUUUAAAGUUUUCCAAAAUGAAAAAAUUUUUAAUUACUUUCUCUUUAAUUAAUAUGGCUACACAAGAAAACAAGUUCUAAUCUACCUUUGAUAAACCAUGAAUCUAAGAGUUGGAAAGAAAAGUAAAAAGAGAACAGAGGGUAAGCAUAGAAGUAAAUACCUACGAAUGACUUACCUAGAAAACAUGCCUACACUGAUUGGGAGGAAAGGGAGUAUUCGGGUAAUCUGCCCAUGCAUUGGGAAUUUUUUUUUAAUGCGAAAAAAAGGAGCAAACUGAACAUAAGCAUGUCUUAGUUAAAUAAAUUCAACAACUCUUUCCUCUAAACACAUCAUACACUUUAUAAACCAGUAAUUCUAAAUGUACUAAAUGGAGUGUGUUGCUUAUGCAAUAUCAGACAUGAAUUCUACUGAAAAAUGACAUAAAUUUCUCUGUGGUAAAUUCUCAUUUUCACAUGUGGGAUUUUCUUUUUACCAAGCAAAAUACACCCUGUAGAUCCUUUCAAAAUUAGUUCUUCCUUCCCUUUAUAUUGAGAGUUUAGGGGAGGAAAAACAUUCCUUCAUCACUGGAAGCCUCUAAAAAGUCAGUAAAAAAAUGUACUUAAUAGGGGGGAGAACCCAAGAUGGCGGCGUGAGUAGGGCAGCGGUAAUCUCCUCUAAAAACCAUGUAUAUUUUUGAAAAUACAACAAAUA
Manis pentadactyla (Chinese pangolin) is the source of this 5702-nucleotide long non-coding RNA. RefSeq lists it as uncharacterized. The transcript is spliced from 3 exons. The record is from RefSeq and is a predicted model, not a curated record. NCBI's taxonomy places the organism in Eukaryota, Metazoa, Chordata, Mammalia, Pholidota, Manidae.